AGUCGCGUGGUCUAAUGGUUAUGAUUUCUCGUUCACAUUGAUGUGAUCAAAGUUCCGAGAAGGUUCCGUGUUCGAUCCACGGCGUGACUA
This 90-nucleotide transfer RNA is filed under the name Hypoxylon texense. RNAcentral describes it as "tRNA-Val". Lineage: Eukaryota; Fungi; Ascomycota; Sordariomycetes; Xylariales; Hypoxylaceae. The record is from RNAcentral. RNAcentral also lists the same sequence under 1 other name.